RNAcentral lists this ribosomal RNA (490 nucleotides) under Escherichia coli. RNAcentral describes it as "bacterial SSU rRNA". It matches the Rfam family "Bacterial small subunit ribosomal RNA", at positions 1 to 480 of the family's 1533-position model. Lineage: Bacteria; Pseudomonadati; Pseudomonadota; Gammaproteobacteria; Enterobacterales; Enterobacteriaceae. The record is from RNAcentral.
AAAUUGAAGAGUUUGAUCAUGGCUCAGAUUGAACGCUGGCGGCAGGCCUAACACAUGCAAGUCGAACGGUAACAGGAAGCAGCUUGCUGCUUCGCUGACGAGUGGCGGACGGGUGAGUAAUGUCUGGGAAACUGCCUGAUGGAGGGGGAUAACUACUGGAAACGGUAGCUAAUACCGCAUAACGUCGCAAGACCAAAGAGGGGGACCUUCGGGCCUCUUGCCAUCGGAUGUGCCCAGAUGGGAUUAGCUAGUAGGUGGGGUAACGGCUCACCUAGGCGACGAUCCCUAGCUGGUCUGAGAGGAUGACCAGCCACACUGGAACUGAGACACGGUCCAGACUCCUACGGGAGGCAGCAGUGGGGAAUAUUGCACAAUGGGCGCAAGCCUGAUGCAGCCAUGCCGCGUGUAUGAAGAAGGCCUUCGGGUUGUAAAGUACUUUCAGCGGGGAGGAAGGGAGUAAAGUUAAUACCUUUGCUCAUUGACGUUACCC